UUCUCACUCUUGCUCUGCCUCUCUUUCUCUAUCUCUGUGGCUAGCUCGUGCUCUCUCAGUGGCUCGCUCACCCCUCAGUCAAUCUCUCUUCCUCCCUUGUCUUGCUGGGAAGGCAACAAAUCAAUAUUAUGGAAAUGAUUUGAGACAUACCUUUUCAGACAAAGCAUCUUGCGAAAGGCCUAUGAGGGCUUAGGCAAAUCCAUCAUAGCAAACUACACAUGCAAACUCCAAAUGACUUGGGGGCUUCAUGCCAAGCAAAAGAGCGAGACAAGAAUCCAGAAGUUGCUGUAAAUUUCAAUUUUCCUCUUGGAGGAAAGCAAACUAUUUGUUACUUAUCUGGAGGAAAACAGGCUGUGUGUAUCUCUUCCAGCAACUCGCUUCGCCUAAUCCUUCUUAUCUUUAGUUUGCUUCUUCCAAAGAUCUUCUUUGAAGCAAGUUGCAGGAGGAAAAAAAAAAUACAAGCAGGCCUCUACUCUGUUUCUCGACCCUGAGUAAGCCAAAGAGAACAUAACCCAACUCUGCAACCAAUUGCUGACCCCAACAAGCUGACUUGGGGGCUUUAUGCCAAGCAAAUUCAAAGAAGGACACCAUGCCAUCCAAACAAGCAAACCCAUCCACCCUUUUGCCAUACAAUAUAAAUCAUCUCUUUGAUUACAACAAGCCUAGACAAUCAUGCAUUAUGAUGACAAACAGUUUUCUAUUUCCCCUUUUUGAAAUAAGCCAAGUACUGCCAACUCAACAAGCCAUCUACCUCUGAGUUUCCACUAGAAAUCAGCACACCUAGCCUUUGUCAAAAAUCAAUUUUGCAAUUCACUGCCAAACACUAUGCCUUUUUGAGACCACAACCUCUUGGGGGGCUUACCCAUGUUAAAACAUGGUGCCAUUCAGACUCAUGCAACAUGCCGAGAAGGAAAUUACAACAUGCCAAGCAAAUCAAUCAAGCCAAAUUUACAUGAAGAGAAUCAAAAACUUGAAUAGAAGAAGGUUGAGCUCAACAUUCACAUACUGGGGGCUUCAGCCAACAUGCAAGCCGCUGACCACCGUUGUCACCUCCCCACCAUGAAACAUCAUCAGCAAAUCUGGCCAUCGCCGUAAAUCACCUUCGUGGCAGGUCUCACCUCUCUAGAGCUGUGCAAGCACGAUGAGAAAGGGAGGAGGAACACUUGCUCAAUACUCUAAGCCUCAUCUCUGCGAAUUGCUUUAGCAAGAUAAGAUUUUUUAUCUUGCCUCAUUGAU
This is a non-coding RNA of Prunus avium (sweet cherry), 1236 nucleotides long. NCBI's taxonomy places the organism in Eukaryota, Viridiplantae, Streptophyta, Magnoliopsida, Rosales, Rosaceae. The record is from RefSeq and is a predicted model, not a curated record.